RNAcentral lists this unclassified non-coding RNA (287 nucleotides) under Anthracocystis apludae-aristatae. Its description in RNAcentral is "partial internal transcribed spacer region". The stretch from base 1 to 46 matches the Rfam family "Eukaryotic small subunit ribosomal RNA", at positions 1786 to 1831 of the family's 1831-position model. Lineage: Eukaryota; Fungi; Basidiomycota; Ustilaginomycetes; Ustilaginales; Ustilaginaceae. The record is from RNAcentral.
AAGUCGUAACAAGGUAUCUGUAGGUGAACCUGCAGAUGGAUCAUUUCGAUGAAAACCUUUUUUCUGAGGUGUGGCUCGCACCUGUCCAACUAAACUUGAGCUACCUUUUUCAACACGGUUGCAUCGGUCGAGAGCCUGUCAAAGAACGCGAAAGUGUCCUUUGGUUCGGCCCUCGACACUUUACACAAACACUUUUGAUCUUCUAGGAUUUGAAUGACAAUUUAUGACUGGUAAUUCGGUCGUUUAAAUUUAAAAACAACUUUUGGCAACGGAUCUCUUGGUUCUCC